Molecule: ribosomal RNA, 447 nt
Filed under: uncultured bacterium
Lineage: Bacteria
Description: bacterial SSU rRNA
Rfam family: Bacterial small subunit ribosomal RNA
Source: RNAcentral
UAGGGAAUAUUGGACAAUGGGCGAAAGCCUGACCCAGCCAUGCCGCGUGAGUGACGAAGGCCUUAGGGUUGUAAAACUCUUUCGUCGGGGACGAUAAUGACGGUACCCGAAGAAUAAGCUCCGGCUAACUUCGUGCCAGCAGCCGCGGUAAUACGAAGGGAGCUAGCGUUGUUCGGAAUCACUGGGCGUAAAGCGCACGUAGGCGGAUGUGUCAGUCAGGGGUGAAAUCCCGGAGCUCAACUUCGGAACUGCCCUUGAUACAGCACGUCUUGAGUCCGAUAGAGGUGGGUGGAAUUCCUAGUGUAGAGGUGAAAUUCGUAGAUAUUAGGAAGAACACCGGUGGCGAAGGCGGCCCACUGGAUCGGUACUGACGCUGAGGUGCGAAAGCGUGGGGAGCAAACAGGAUUAGAUACCCUAGUAGUCCCUGAGCGGGCUGGCAAGGCGCAU